GACGAACGCUGGCGGCGUGCCUAAUACAUGCAAGUAGAACGCUGAAACUUGGUGCUUGCACCGAGCGGAUGAGUUGCGAACGGGUGAGUAACGCGUAGGUAACCUGCCUGGUAGCGGGGGAUAACUAUUGGAAACGAUAGCUAAUACCGCAUAAGAGUAGAUGUUGCAUGACAUUUGCUUAAAAGGCGCAAUUGCACCACUACCAGAUGGACCUGCGUUGUAUUAGCUAGUUGGUGGGGUAACGGCUCACCAAGGCGACGAUACAUAGCCGACCGGAGAGGGUGAUCGGCCACACUGGGACUGGGACAGGGCCCAGUCUCCUAAGGGAGGCAGCAGUAGGGAGUCUUCGGCAAUGGGCGGAAGUCUGACCGGGCAACGCCGAGUGAGUGAAGAAGGUUUUCGGAUCGUAAAGCUCUGUUGUAAGAGAAGAACGAGUGUGAGAGUGGAAAGUUCACACUGUGACGGUAUCUUACAAGAAAGGGACGGCUAACUACGUG
Molecule: ribosomal RNA, 497 nt
Filed under: uncultured bacterium
Lineage: Bacteria
Description: partial 16S ribosomal RNA
Rfam family: Bacterial small subunit ribosomal RNA
Source: RNAcentral